Molecule: long non-coding RNA, 804 nt
Organism: Callithrix jacchus (white-tufted-ear marmoset)
Lineage: Eukaryota; Metazoa; Chordata; Mammalia; Primates; Cebidae
Source: RefSeq, a predicted model, not a curated record
UUGCUGGGACAAGUGACUGAACGUAUCCGUUCUGUGUCCCAUUUAAUCAGAGCGCUCCGGCAAAUCCACGACACCAGAGGACCAAAGGCAGAUCAUGAUCUAACCUGCUCUCUGUCCCGGGAAGGCCCCUUUGGCCUUGAACUUUGCAGGCAGGAAGAAAGGUCCUCUGCUGCUUCCCCACAGUAUCACCCACCUGAUUGGAGCUGGGGCCCAGGCAUCAGAGCCCUGCAGUCAGGUCAGACAGUGGCAGAGAUCAUCAGGGCGCCCUGCGAAACACCCCAGCACUACGGGAGGCCAAGACCUUCCCGUGAGUCUGGGCGUGCCUCGGCGGUGCCCACCGGCGUCCCCAGCACCCCGUAUGGGGACAUGGUUGUUGACUGACUGAAUGGCUCUUCACAGCAGCCCCGCGACGUGGAGGCUUUUAUCUACCCCAUUUCACACAGUAGGAAACUGAGGCUCAAACACAUGGGGCCCUCCCCGCCCCCCUCACCACUUGUGGGUGCUACAAGGAUGUCUGAGGAUCACGUGCGUGCCCUGGAAUUCUGUGGGAGGAAUGCUGCGGUCUCAGGCAGUUCCACAAACGGAGGAUCCUCCGGGCUGACCCCUGCCACCCGCUCCGGAGUUCCCGGGAGCUUGCGCUCCGGUUCCGCCCAUCGGACGCCCGCAGCCAAUGGCCGCGCCGCCUGAUGAGGAGCGGAAAGGACAAAAGACACCCCCAUGCCCCCAGCAGUCAAGGACACUUGCGCAUGUAUGGAACGCCCACUGUAUGCCAGCCCCCAGACCCACUGGGGAUGCAGCGGUGGC